GGACGGGUGAGGAAUACGUCGGAAUCUGCCUAUUUGUGGGGGAUAACGUAGGGAAACUUACGCUAAUACCGCAUACGACCUACGGGUGAAAGCGGAGGACCUUCGGGCUUCGCGCAGAUAGAUGAGCCGACGUCGGAUUAGCUAGUUGGCGGGGUAAAGGCCCACCAAGGCGACGAUCCGUAGCUGGUCUGAGAGGAUGAUCAGCCACACUGGAACUGAGACACGGUCCGGACUCCUACGGGAGGCAGCAGUGGGGAAUAUUGGACAAUGGGCGCAAGCCUGAUCCAGCCAUGCCGCGUGUGUGAAGAAGGCCUUCGGGUUGUAAAGCACUUUUGUCCGGAAAGAAAAGCACUGGGUUAAUACCCUGGUGUCAUGACGGUACCGGAAGAAUAAGCACCGGCUAACUUCGUGCCAGCAGCCGCGGUAAUACGAAGGGUGCAAGCGUUACUCGGAAUUACUGGGCGUAAAGCGUGCGUAGGCGGUUUGUUAAGUCUGAUGUGAAAGCCCUGG
This 510-nucleotide ribosomal RNA is filed under the name uncultured soil bacterium. Its description in RNAcentral is "bacterial SSU rRNA". It matches the Rfam family "Bacterial small subunit ribosomal RNA", at positions 100 to 606 of the family's 1533-position model. The record is from RNAcentral.